AUAAUGAUGAUAAAAUGUUAAAAAAACCACACGCGCUUGCAGAUGCGGUUAAGAUUGAACACUAUAAAAUCAACCAAAGUGUAUUCAUUAGUAGUAAACAACUUUGCAAACAUGAAAUUGGCGAUCGUUUCUCUACUGUGUCUGGUUUUUCUUGUUGAAGGCGGACGGGUAAACGUGGCUUCAACGGGAGAAAUCAAAUGUCCAUUUGGCCAGACUGGCGAGUGUGAUAGCAAAACAGAUUGGAAGUGUCCUCGAGCUUGCAGCUGUUUCCCAGAGACACAGACGGACGGGGUUUGCUGCAGUUGGCCUUUUAAAGUGAAGUCACCAUAAGGGCAGAGGAAUUAGAGAUGUUGACGGAAAGGAGAUAUCAUUGAUCUACCAUUGUGUUCCAAUUAUAGGGCUGACACACAUUUUCUGCUAUGACAAUUGCUGAGGUAUUAAAGUGCAACUUCAGAACCAGAAACGAACAUUUCUAAGUAAAGUUUUAUUUUGAGAAACUGAGGAAGCCAUCGUAAGCCUUUAAAUGAGUCUUACCACUUACAGGCAAAGAUUUACCUUCAAACACACUGAAAAAUGUAUCAAUCCUAACAUUUAAGAACUUGUUUGGUUUCAUUUUGCAGCAAAGCCAUUAACAUUGAUAAACAAGUAGCUUUUUUGAAAUCUUUGGUGAUGGAUAUUACUAUAUACACAAGAAUCCUAAAUUAUAUCAGUUUACUUAUUACCAGUUUCUUAAAAACACCAUGGUUCACAUUUAAAUGUCUUAAACGUGAUUAUAGGGAACAGAUAACAAUAAAUAUGUAUACAUGUGUUAACCUUUAUAGGAGACAAUUGACAAAUAAUAGAAACUGCCCAGAUGUAGGGAUUAAGACAUUUCUUUUGUUGGAUAAGUGUUAAGUGCAUCUAGGGAUUAUAGAUAAGGAUUGCAGUAUAUUUGUAUGACGUUUAAGAUGUAUUCCUGGCUAUAUUCUGAAUUUAUUGAGUGUCUUUCUAAUCGCUUAAUGUAACCAUUUACUGGUUCCUCACCUGGCUCAUUAUGUUAUCACAACAUUGUUUCACAAUCACUGUAAUUUGUCUGAACCACAUAUUCCAUUGACCUGGUGCUGCCAGAGAGCUUGUGUAAAAUAUUUCAAUUAG
Molecule: long non-coding RNA, 1134 nt
Organism: Mya arenaria
Lineage: Eukaryota; Metazoa; Mollusca; Bivalvia; Myida; Myidae
Exons: 4
Source: RefSeq, a predicted model, not a curated record